This 287-nucleotide ribosomal RNA is filed under the name Lumbriculus variegatus. RNAcentral describes it as "partial 16S ribosomal RNA". Lineage: Eukaryota; Metazoa; Annelida; Clitellata; Lumbriculida; Lumbriculidae. The record is from RNAcentral.
AUUAAUUGUGGACUGGAAUGAAUGGGUUAAUGAAAUUUAAGCUGUCUCUAAUUAACAUUAUAAAAACUAGUCAUUAAGUGAAGAAACUUAAAUUAAAUUGAAAGACAAGAAGACCCUAUAGAGCUUUACUCUAACCUAAAAUAACUAUUUUAGCAACAGUUCGGUUGGGGCGACCAGGGAACAUCAUCUCUAAACAAACAGAAAAAUAAUUCAUACAAUAUGACCCUUUAAAGAUCAUAAAAUCAAGCUACCUUAGGGAUAACAGGCUAAUUUUCCUACAGAGACCU